UGAGAAGAAAAGAAGCUUGCUCAAGGUCACAUAGAGCUGGAAUUUAAAUUCAGAUCUAUUAUACUCCUAAGGACUGUGGAAGGAGCAAAAUCUGAUCCAGGGACUGGGGAUGCUGGAGGAGCGUCAAGGCUGGGAAAGUAACAUGCACUGUGUUCGCAAUCAACAGAAAAGAUAUUUUUAAACAAAAACAAUUUUCCAAGUUUCCAGGAAGAGAAACAAAAGGCUUUUCUAAAAUGAAAGAAACUGUUCUUGUUCUGUGACUUUUAUGUCACUUGGACAACAAGCCAGUGCUUAGAAACAGUUAUUUUCCUGUCGACAUCGCUGCAUGGGUACUUCUUAGAAGGACAUAACAGCAUUAGCACUCAAUCCCAGGCUCUGCUCACCCUCCAAUGGCAGUCAUUUUCAAAAACAAUAAAGAUAUCUGUGCUUGGUC
Molecule: long non-coding RNA, 433 nt
Organism: Nomascus leucogenys (northern white-cheeked gibbon)
Lineage: Eukaryota; Metazoa; Chordata; Mammalia; Primates; Hylobatidae
Exons: 2
Source: RefSeq, a predicted model, not a curated record